GGUUCCAUUUUCUGUGAGAUAAAUAUAUAACCUUGUAUGAAAGUACCAUAUGAAAAUUAAAUGCGAAAGCAAAAAAACAUUUACAAUACUCUAAGCGCAUAAAUUUAGUAAAAAAGGUGAAAUUUUCUAAGACCGCUCUCAAAUUCCCUGUUUUUUUUAACAACGCGUCAUAUUACGUAGUCAGAGGCGUUCUUCUGACAGGCUCUAUUGGCUCAGUGCUGCGGUUGUAUUAAGCAAAAGCAGUCGCAAAUUGAUGUGAUUCUUCGUAGUUUCAAUUUAGCAUCGUCAUGGUUAAUAAUUGUGUUAGUGGAGGUUUUACAAACUCCAGCCUGUCAGGACAAUGAGUCUACAGGUUUCUUUUGAAGAAUAAAGACCGCGCUAUUUUCCGUGUCUGGGUGUGUUUAGCGCAGCACGAGGAAAGAGACGAGAGACGCGACUUCACUUCAGCAUGUGCUUCAGAAAAACGCGGUGGUGUAUAGCGUUCACAUUUGAUCGGAGGAUUAUCAUCCCGGCAAUAUGAUGGAGUUAAACAUUGGAUGCCGAAGCAAGAACCACGUGAGGCCUGUGUUUUUGCCACCUCGAGAAAACAUGAAUCGAUCACGGUCCGUCUGAGAUGCAGCUCGAAGAUAACGUGAACUAUGCACAUUGUCCAGCUACAGAUUAAGAUGCUUAGUAUGAUUAAUCAUCCUCUGUUGUCAUGGAUGAACCUGGUGAUGUGUUAUGGAGGAGGAAAAAACAAAAAAAACUCAUCUGAUGAGAAACCACUGCAAGAAUCUCAUCCUGUUCACACAAGUAAGACUUAUUCAAAAAUAAUGUUUUUUCUUUUUAUUCAGGGCUGUUGGCAAGUUCAUUGUUUGCUAAAGCCAGCUGAUGUCUGUUGUACCAUAACCUGUAUUUUUUGUUUUAUAUGCUAUGGUAUAGUAAUUUUCUGCUUUUUAUAUACAUCUCUUAGGUCUGUGCAGCAUGCAUGUAUCAGCAUUUUUUGUGACCAGUGACUGAGGGGCGUGAAUUCCAAAUAUGUGUUUGUUGUGACGUGUGUGAACCAUGUGCAUCAUGCCUCUUGUCACAAUAGGCUACGUGCCUGCUGCACAUGCAUUGAAAAGGUUUAUGAUAAAAGAAGCACUCAUGUUCACAAAAUACUCGCAAGACACUAACUUGACACUAAACUGUGAUUACACAGGAGAUUAAGUGAGUAUCAGGCAAACGUGAGCGUAUCUUUUAUCAUAAACCCUUUACAUGCGUGUGCAGCAGAUUUUGACAUCACGUGUGAUGCACAUAAGUUUACAUGACGCGCUGAACACAUAUUUUGAAAUGACAAGCAACACACAUGACGAGCUCAAUGCAUGUGACCAGCUUCGCAACGUGUGCCCUCGAAAAAAAGUCACCGGCCGACACUGACCCAGAUCAUCAAGAUGUUAAAGCUGUUUGGGCUUCAGAGCAUCUUGUCAGCACCUUCUUCCACCAUGUACACAAUUUCUACCAUCGUGAAGGCGUGGCAGAAUGAGAGAUUUGCAGUCACCACAGGCUCUACGAGAAUGCAGCACUGUCCUGUCUUCCACUACACCUGCUCCCCUCUCCAGAGCCAUCCAGAGGAUCAACAAGGAUGAAGCUGUUGGGAUCUAUUAAUCACAGCAUUCACAAUUUAACACAUUAUUAUAAUACCCGCACAAAUGAUGGAAAGAUACUGAAUUUUUUUUUAAAUGUUUUUAAAUGGGUCAGAUUGUAUAUCUUUCUUUCGGUGCUACAUAAAUAAAACUAAAUCGCAUUACAAAUGCAGAUCUACUUUGUAUAUAUCUGAUCUAAACUUCAUAAACCAGUUUUUAUACGGUAAGACAAUUUGUGAUUAUUGUUUAUUGAUUGUCACAAAAUGGGGGUAUUCAAACCAUUUAUAAAGUCCUCCUUCCUCUGGAACCUGUCCUCGAAUGGCUGACACAUGCAGGUAAGGGCGCCUGCACAGAGUUCCUUAGACACCCAGCGGAUAACUUGCCUAUGCUGUAUUUAGUGGUAUUGUCUGGAGAUGGGAAAACUUUUAAUAUUGUUAAUUUGAAUAUUGACUAGUGCCAGCAAAAAUUGUGACUUAGUCAUGACCUAUAGGCAACUUGUAAUGAAAACAAAUUCAUUAGGAUUGUUUUAAAACAAAUUUAUUAAGAUUGUUUUAACAUUCAAAUCUUUAGUUUACUGUUCAUUUAUACAUGCAUAUUAAAUAAAUUACUAAUAAAUAAUCUCUGCCAUAAACAUA
Molecule: non-coding RNA, 2239 nt
Organism: Paramisgurnus dabryanus
Lineage: Eukaryota; Metazoa; Chordata; Actinopteri; Cypriniformes; Cobitidae
Source: RefSeq, a predicted model, not a curated record